GGGGUUGACUGGAUUUGACAGCGGGAUGAAAUGGUACGUAAGCACGUGGAGUCUCGUUGGCUACCUCCUUAAUCGAAGUGAACAUCAAUUUAAUUGGCGAAAAUAAUUACGCUCUCGCUGCCUAAUCGAAGUACAGUAGAUUACUGGCUUUAUUCCGUCACAAGGUGAUGGAACGAGACAUCGCUCAACGGAUGUUGUUCCGAAUCUUGUUGGUUCAGCGGUGCAGGAAAUCGGAAAUAGUUCUGGUAGGCCUUGAUGCUAGGAUGAAAUUUUAGAGGAUAAGGGUAUGGUUGGUGGUUCAGGUCUUGCCAUAUCACGAAAAUGAAGGCUGAAAUAAACGUGUAGAAAGCGUAUGGUUUCCCUGUUUGGACGAGGGUUCGAAUCCCUCCAGCUCCACUG
The sequence is a non-coding RNA, 399 nucleotides long. It matches the Rfam family "transfer-messenger RNA". Rfam says of the family: Bacterial tmRNA, also known as 10Sa RNA or SsrA, is named for its dual tRNA and mRNA-like properties. Its role is to liberate the mRNA from a stalled ribosome. The record is from Rfam.